GAUGAACGCUGGCGGCGUGCCUAAUACAUGCAAGUCGAGCGAACGGACGAGACGCUUGCUUCUCUGAUGUUAGCGGCGGACGGGUGUGUAACACGUGGAUAACCUCCCUAUAAGACUGGGAUAACUUCGGGAAACCGGAGCUAAUACCGGAUAAUAUUUUGAACCGCAUGGUUCAAAAGUGAAAGACGGUCCUGCUGGCACUUAUAGAUGGAUCCGCGCUGCAUUAGCUAGUUGGUAAGGUAACGGCUUACCAAGGCAACGAUGCAUAGCCGACCUGAGAGGGUGGUAGGCCGCCCUGGAACUGAGCCACGCUCCAGGCUCCUACGGGAGGCAGCAGUCGGGAAUCUUCCGCAAUAGGCGAAAGCCUUACGGAGCAGCCCCGCGUGAGUGAUGAAGGUCCUCGGAUCGUAAAACUCUCUUACUAGUGAAGAACAUAUUUGUAAGUAACUGUGCACAUCUUGACGGUACCUAAUCAGAAAGCCCCGGCUAACUACGUG
This 497-nucleotide ribosomal RNA is filed under the name uncultured bacterium. RNAcentral's name for it is "partial 16S ribosomal RNA". It matches the Rfam family "Bacterial small subunit ribosomal RNA", at positions 28 to 507 of the family's 1533-position model. The record is from RNAcentral.